Phyllopteryx taeniolatus (common seadragon) is the source of this 3184-nucleotide long non-coding RNA. RefSeq lists it as uncharacterized. The record is from RefSeq and is a predicted model, not a curated record. Lineage: Eukaryota; Metazoa; Chordata; Actinopteri; Syngnathiformes; Syngnathidae. The transcript is spliced from 3 exons.
UCACAGUUCUGAGGACCGGGGUUCAAUCCCCGGCCCCGCCCGUGUGGAGUUUGCAUGUUCUUCCCGUGCCUGCGUGGGUUUUCUCCGGGCACUCCGGUUUCCUCCCACAUCCCAAAAACAUGCAUGGGAGGUUAAUUGACAACUCUAAAUUGCCCGUAGGUGUGAAUGCGAGUACGAAUGGUUGUUUGUUUGGAAGUGCCCUGCAAUUGGCUGGCAACCAGUUCAGGGUGUACCCCGUCUCCUGCCCGAUGAUAGCUGGGAUGGGCUCCAGCACGCCCGCGACCCGAGUGAGGAGAAGCGGCUCAGAAAAUGGAUGGAUGGAUAUAAACCAGCGUAGGCCAGUCCGAGCGGGCUCUGUAACACCCUUGGCAUAGGCAGUCCUGUAAAAGCUGAAUACGUGUGCUUUUUAACGCUCUUUGUAGCAGCAGAUGUUGCAUUAGAUGUUUUGGCGUUCUCAUUCUUUGUGUAAAACGCAAGAGGACAAGAGAUGCAGCUUCUGAAAGAGGGCUUGAAAAAAAUCUGGCAAAGAUUAGGUAGAGAAAUGGAAAAUUACUGCAAAGCUUUAGGGAGUGAGAGCCCUUCAACAGCAACCUAAACCCUUUCCUAAUCUUACUAAAAAUGUUAAGAAGCAGCUCGUCGAGGGAUUGGCCGAUUUGAUCAGUCGAAUAUUCCUUUUGAAUUGGAUUUUGUUUUUAAUCAUGUUUUGGAUUUUCAUACUUUGGACUGUUUACAUAUGUCAUCAAAUGAGACUUUGAAUGGAAUCAACUUUUUCCUUGGACUGAUGUUUUUGGUUCAUUUGGGUUUUUCAUCUCAAAGGAUCGGCUUGAAAUGAUUUAUCUCAUAGAUCAGUGAAGAUCUUCAUCCAAAGUCAAUUGCACAUUGCAUUGUAAUGGAUUCCCAUUUUAAAUUAAACUACAUUAACACAAUCAGAAUCAUGUAAAUACUACAUCAACCAACAUUGUUUUUUUAUCAUUUAUUGCUGAAAGACAACGAGAGAGCCUUGUUUCACACAGUUCAGUGAUCAUGUGCACCUCACAUGUGAAAGGUCCCUGAUUUAAAACUGGCUGUGAACAAGGCCUUUUAUUAUUAUUAUUAAUAUUAUUAUAAAUCUCUCAUGAAAAGCAGCUUCACCAAAUAACCUUCUCGCCCUGGUGGAAUGAAUGUAGAAGAACGUCAAAAAAACACAACAAUGGGCAUUUAUGAAGAAGAAAGAAGAACAUCAAGAGAACAUGCCUCAAGUGAAGACUGCAUGGUGGAGUUGUCCUUGAAGUCAUCAAGGUUUUGCAAAACUUACAUACUGUAGUGUAGCACUAGCCGUUGCUAUGCUUUUUGGACUCAUUUUUGUGCUCAAUCUCAGACACCCUAGUGACCUCCGUGACACCUUUGAGGUCGUGCAAAAGAUUAUGGACAUGGCUGGGUGUAAACUCUUCAACAGAGCACUUGGAAUGAAGAACAGUCUGCUCCUGUUCUCGGAGUCGUAAAUGUGCUGCCAACCGAAAAAUAUGUUAAAUGUUUCUUUAAUUUUUUACAAGAAGUUGCCGUUUGUGAGUUAAUUCUGGUGAGAGCGUCAGCCUCACAGUUCUGAGGACCGGGGUUCAAAUCCCGGCCCCGCCUGUGUGGAGUUUGCAUGUUCUCCCCGUGCCUGCGUGGGUUUUCUCCGGGAACUCCGGUUUCCUCCCACAUCCCAAAAACAUGCAUUAAUUGGAGACUCUAAAUUGCCCGUAGGCAUGACUGUGAGUGCGAAUGGUUGUUUGUUUCUAUGUGCCCUGCGAUUGGUUGGCAACCAGUUCAGGGUGUACCCCGCCUCCUGCCCGAUGACAGCUGGGAUAGGCUCCAGCACGCCCGCAACCCUAGUGAGGAGAAGCGGCUCAGAAAAUGGAUGGAUGGAUGGAUGUUUAUUUUAUAAAAUAACAAAAAUAUGAUAAAGUGGAGAGUGACAUGAGUGUCGCAUUUCAUCACCAAACAAGAUGUGAGCAUAAAAGCGGUUGAAAUGGUAAUCUGUAUUAAAUGUGGAUUAAUAUUUUUAUCAAUACAGUAAAAUGUUGAGAUGAUUCACUUGAUCGACAGUUUAAUGCCUUAUCAUGCCUUUCACCUUGUUUCACUGUCGCCCUGGCUCAGCACCCUGCGAGUCUUCAGCCUUGCUGCCAACCAACAGUUUUAGACAGACAACUUUCAACUUUCAGGUUCUACCACCCUGCGCUAUGAUCGUAUAGUGGUUAGUACUCUGCGUUGUGACCUCAGCACCCCCCCGGUUCAAGUCCGGGUUCACAGCGUAGAUAAAGCCCUGCAAUUGUUUUUUUUCGUGCUGCUGUUUGAAAAGUUGGGACAGUGAAAAUCCUCCACAGGGAAGCCGCUUGCAGAGGGUACAGCACCCUUGUGGGGCUAGUGGCGCAAUGGAUAACGUAUCUGACUAUGGAUCAGAAGAUUCUAGGUUCAACUCCUGGCUAGCUCGUGCACUGUUUUGCAUGUGGUAUUAAACCCAUUUUUUUUUAAAUUUCUUUUUUGCACUCAAUUUGAAUUUUACUUUUAACAUCAAAAUAUCCAAUCCAAACAUUCCAGCCUCAAAUAUUCAGCUGCUCCAUUUCAGAAGCAAAUUCAACUCGCUGGCAGAAAAGGCUGUUAAAAUGGAAAAAAAUAUAAUAAUAAUAAAUGCUAUUUAAUUCUGCACGCACGUGCAAACAUAAAGGAACGUAAACAACAAUUUUCUACCCACAAAUGAGGUAUCAAAAGUUGCGUCUCGGCCACUCUUUAAUCAGACCUUCUUUAUUUUAAAUUCUACGUGACCAUCAUGAUGCAAUUCCCCAAAAUCUACGGAUAAACUUCCAUUGAGAAUGAAUGGGCCUCCAACAAUUCCCACAUUUAACACUUUCACAUCAUUCAUUUCCCGUUCCAACUUCAAUUACCAUACUAACUGUUAGCAUUUGAGCUAAUCUCCUGACUUAUUAUUAUAUACUAUUUUUAUUAUAUAGUAUCAUGAUUCAUGGUUUCUGAUUCAAUUCAAGGAUGAUAUUGGAUUGUUUGGAAAACAGGGAAGGUGUAGGAAGUUGAACCAUGGGCAGGUGGAAGAACUUGGUGGCAUGGCUGGAGACACGGAAGGAGCAUUGGAGACGGAGAAGAACACAAGGGGGGUAAGUACGAUUGCAGGUAGUCGAGGAACUUACGAGGAGGAGUCAUGAAAGUUGGC